This 440-nucleotide ribosomal RNA is filed under the name uncultured bacterium. RNAcentral describes it as "partial 16S ribosomal RNA". It matches the Rfam family "Bacterial small subunit ribosomal RNA", at positions 338 to 795 of the family's 1533-position model. The record is from RNAcentral.
CCUACGGGAGGCAGCAGUGGGGAAUAUUGCACAAUGGGGGGAACCCUGAUGCAGCGACGCCGCGUGAGUGAAGAAGUACUUCGGUAUGUAAAGCUCUAUCAGCAGGGAAGAAAAUGAUGGUACCUGACUAAGAAGCCACGGCUAACUACGGGCAAGCAGCCGCGGUAAUACGUAGGGGGCAAGCGUUAUCCGGAUUGACUGGGUGUAAAGGGGGCGAUGAGGGUUAUGAAAGUCUGAAGGGAAGACCCAAGGCCCAACCCUCGUACUGUUUUGGAAACUGUAAAACUGGAGUGAAUGAGAGGUAAGCGGAAUUCCUAGUGUAGCGGUGAAAUGCGUAGAUAUUAGGAGGAACACCAGUUGCGAAGGCAGCUUACUGGACUGUAACUGACGCUGAGGCACGAAAGCGUGGGGAGCAAACAGGAUUAGAUACCCGAGUAGUC